Molecule: ribosomal RNA, 492 nt
Filed under: uncultured bacterium
Lineage: Bacteria
Description: partial 16S ribosomal RNA
Rfam family: Bacterial small subunit ribosomal RNA
Source: RNAcentral
AGUGAACGCUGGCGGUAGGCCUAACACAUGCAAGUCGAACGGCAGCACAGUAAGAGCUUGCUCUUACGGGUGGCGAGUGGCGGACGGGUGAGGAAUACAUCGGAAUCUACUUUUUCGUGGGGGAUAACGUAGGGAAACUUACGCUAAUACCGCAUACGACCUACGGGUGAAAGCAGGGGAUCUUCGGACCUUGCGCGAUUGAAUGAGCCGAUGUCGGAUUAGCUAGUUGGCGGGGUAAAGGCCCACCAAGGCGACGAUCCGUAGCUGGUCUGAGAGGAUGAUCAGCCACACUGGAACUGAGACACGGUCCAGACUCCUACGGGAGGGAGCAGUGGGGAAUAUUGGACAAUGGGCGCAAGCCUGAUCCAGGCAUACCGCGUGGGUGAAGAAGGCCUUCGGGUUGUAAAGCCCUUUUGUUGGGAAAGAAAAGCAGCAGGUUAAUACCCCGCUGUUCUGACGGUAACCAAAGAAUAAGCACCGGCUAACUUCGUG